GACGAACGCUGGCGGCGCGCCUAACACAUGCAAGUCGAACGAGCGAGAGAGAGCUUGCUUUCUCGAGCGAGUGGCGAACGGGUGAGUAACGCGUGAGGAACCUGCCUCAAAGAGGGGGACAACAGUUGGAAACGACUGCUAAUACCGCAUAAGCCCACGACCCGGCAUCGGGUAGAGGGAAAAGGAGCAAUCCGCUUUGAGAUGGCCUCGCGUCCGAUUAGCUAGUUGGUGAGGUAACGGCCCACCAAGGCGACGAUCGGUAGCCGGACUGAGAGGUUGAACGGCCACAUUGGGACUGAGACACGGCCCAGACUCCUACGGGAGGCAGCAGUGGGGAAUAUUGCACAAUGGGGGAAACCCUGAUGCAGCGACGCCGCGUGGAGGAAGAAGGUCUUCGGAUUAUAAACUCCUGUUGUUGAGGAAGAUAAUGACGGUACUCAACAAGGAAGUGACGGCUAACUACGUG
RNAcentral lists this ribosomal RNA (466 nucleotides) under uncultured bacterium. RNAcentral's name for it is "partial 16S ribosomal RNA". It matches the Rfam family "Bacterial small subunit ribosomal RNA", at positions 28 to 507 of the family's 1533-position model. The record is from RNAcentral.